UACCGUACUGUAAACCGACACUGGUGAACAAAUUUAGUAAAUUAAGGUGCUUGAGUUAAUUGUAUUGAAGGAACUCGGCAAAAUGGCUCCGUAACUUAGGGAUAAGGAGUAGCUUUUAAAAAUUAAAAAUUCAAAAAGCUGUCACAAAAUCGAGGACAGCGACUGUUUAAUAAAAACACAGGUCUCUGCAAAUUUGAAAAAAGAAGUAUAGAGACUGACGCCUGCCCGGUACUGCAAGUUUAAUAGAAAAAGUCUUGGCUUUGACUUGAAUUCCCAGUAAACGGCGGCUGUAACUCUGACGGUCCAAAGGUAGCGAAAUUCCUUGGCAUUUAAUUGAUGUCCUGCAUGAAUGGCGUAACGACUGUCCUACUGUCUCCAAUACAAUCUCAGUGAAAUUGAAAUGUCUGUGAAGAUGCAGACUACUCGCGGCUAGACGGAAAGACCCUGUGCACCUUUACUAUAGUUAUAAAUUGUAAUAAAACUUUUUAUGUAUAGCAUAUGUGGUAAGUUUUUUUCAAACCGUAGCGCA
This 529-nucleotide ribosomal RNA is filed under the name Thalassiosira punctigera. RNAcentral describes it as "partial Bacterial large subunit ribosomal RNA". It matches the Rfam family "Bacterial large subunit ribosomal RNA", at positions 1640 to 2172 of the family's 2925-position model. Lineage: Eukaryota; Bacillariophyta; Thalassiosirophyceae; Thalassiosirales; Thalassiosiraceae. The record is from RNAcentral.